Molecule: unclassified non-coding RNA, 1064 nt
Filed under: Hevea brasiliensis (rubber tree)
Lineage: Eukaryota; Viridiplantae; Streptophyta; Magnoliopsida; Malpighiales; Euphorbiaceae
Source: RNAcentral
GGAAUUGGUUUUUGUAACUUUAGACUGGUGAUAGUGGAAGGCAUGGUAUUAAAGUGAUCUUAGAGGACAUUGUAAAUAAAUUAUAUAAUGUGAGGCCAAGGGACCUAUAGCGUAAAAUUAUGCCUUAUUUAUUAUGUGUAAUAAUAUUUAGCAAACUGGGGUUAUUAACUAGUCCCCCUUUUCCUCCUCACUCUCUAUACUCUAUUGGGGUUGUUAUCAGACAGCCCUUUUAUUUUAAUAUAUAAAUUUGGAUUUCCUUUUUUUUCCCCCACUCAGUGGAAAGACUAUUAGCUAUCUUUUUGCUCUGAAUUUCUCUCUCUUGUAGUGCAAUUUCUUGCUUGGUGGAAAAUUGCACUCUUUUUCCCAAAAACUUAUCCAUGUCCUAGAUUUGAGUCAUAUCUCUUGUGCUAUGUGAUCUUCUUCAGUUAGUGGUAUCAAAACCUUUCAUGAUUGGCUGGCUACUAAUGUUUCCAAAUCUGGAUAACAUGGAUUCAAUGAAUUCUGUCGUGGUUAUAUGCUGAUGCCAUCAGGGGACCUAGUGACUUAUACACUCAUCUCUCCCUCUCUGAGGAGAUUGAGAUCCAUAUUACAUAGAACAUCAUCUAACAUCGUGCUUUCUGGUCACGUUGACUGCAUGUAGUUUCCUAAGAGGCUGCUACACCAGGCUUGUCCGAAUGCAUAUGCACAAGAGCCUGGACACAAUUGCAACUUUUAGAAACAAAGCCUUGAAGCAUGCAUGAAGAAUGAAUUCUUGGUUACCAUUUUGGAAGACCUAUAAAUAUUUAUGCUUUUAAUGUGCAGGUGUAUUUCUAUGAACUCUCACUUUAUAUAUAACAUGCUUGAGGCAUUUGAACCUCCCCUGGAUAUGAGCCAAGACAUGGAUGGUUGUGAGGACUCACACCAUGAACAUGCCCUGAAUGAUCAUCUCUUCUCUAGUGAGGGGAAUUGCUGCCCCAGUCAGUCUGCCUCAACGACUGGAAUGUGUUGUUCCAAACCUGGUGGAGCCUGUUGUGGACAAGGGAACAAUACAAUAUGCAGGUCAUCAGAUAGGGUGACUACUGAUG